AUAAUAAAAGCAAAGGGGUUGUGUUAAGUGUUCUUGUAUUCAUCAGGCAGCAGGAUGAUCUCUUGUGGAGUAAAAUGUCAGGUGUUUUUUUUUUUAAGAAAUCGAUUUUUAGUUGUGACGUCAUUUGGCAGGCUGUCCACGGUAUCACUUUCUGCUUAUUUUUAAAAGGUCUGAUUUAAGCCGACGCUGUUCUACCCUGCCACUCCUAGCCAUAAAUUGGUACUGUGUGUAAGUUUUGCUUUUUGUUUGAUCUGAAGCAGCUUUUGUUUCUUUCCCUCAGAAGCGAUGUCCCCGUUAACUUUUGUUCAGUAAAGAGACAGUGUAAGAAAAGGUGGAACUGUGUUGCUGAUAACUUAUCAGGUCUUUUAUACCCUUUUGUGUCUUUUUAAGUUUGCUUCUGAUCCCUGAGUUUACCUUAUGUCAGGCAUGUGGAAGUAUAAGCACAGUUCAAAUAUGUUAUUGGAUAAGCGUGUAAUUGAAUAAGGAGUUGUAACCUAAAGUUAGAAAAAUCUAACUCAUAAAGAGUAUGGGAAUUCCUCCUUGUCUAUCAAAACAAGUUGGUUAAGUCAGAGGCAAGACGAAAGGCCCAGGUUUACAUUACAUGUAAAUUGUAUGUGCUUUUGCUAGUUUUCCUGCCACUUAGGUGGCUUACUUAACAUGCUUCAGUUAACUCACCUUUAAAAUGGGAGCAAUAAUAGUUAUCACGGGGUUGUUGUGUUCUUACAUUUGGACAUAUAGUUAGCUGUAACUAUAAGUUAUUUUUGUUAUGCAUCCCAAAAACUUGGUUUCUGUCCCCACCCCCCGCCCACCAACUUUUUCUUACAUAUCAAAACCUUAUAAUAAAAUCCAUGGAGACAUAGCAAUUUUGAACAGAAAGAACCUUUGAGAUUAUUUGGUCUGCUUCCCACAUUUUAACUGCCGUACGAAGAGGAGACAUGAACAGUUCUCAGUCUUUGGAGCCAGACAGAUUUGGGUCAGGUUCAAAUCCUUGGCACUCUACUAAGAUGUUUUAUAUAAAGUACAGCUUGUAAGGGCACCAGGCCUCCUGGAGUCAGACAUCAUGGGCUUGAAUCCUAGCUAUUCUUAUUUGUGAGCUGUGUGAUGUUGCGAUAAUUACUAAGCCUUUCUGUAUUCCAUCUCAUGGUGUUUAUGUAAUGAUGGAAACUAUAUGUAAAGCACUAAACAUAUAUAAACAUAAACAUAUAAAGUCUGUCAUCUUUGUCAAAUUCCUCUUUGCCCUCUGUUUCCUCGACUGUAAAAUGGAAGUAAUACCUAUUUUUGCUAGGAUUUUGGAAGGAUUAGAUAUAAAUAAAACAUGGUAUGGUGGUAUUUGAUAAAUUGUAGUAAUAGAAGUAAUAUCAUUCAGUGAAAGUCAGUACAAACUUUAAUCUUGUACUGCUGUGGAUGUGUUGUGUAGUCAUGGUGUAGCCCCCUUUUAUUUAAUCGAUUUGCCUUAAUUAUUCAGCACAACAGUUAUAAUAGAAUGAUCAUCUAAAAAUAGGAAUGCAUGGGGAAAUCACGCAGGGAGCAGAGACUUAUAAAAAGGUACACCUAGAAAUAAGAGUGAUCUGGAUGAACUCCUACAAUGUGGCAGCCGUUUGCUUUGUGCUGGAGAUACCAUGACGAACAGCCCACGUUCCUGCCUUCAGGAAACUGAAAGAGAACCAACUCUCAGAACUGCAGCAAGGUUAAGGGCCUUGGCAGCUGUACUGUGCAUUUGGUAUUAUAGUAAUAGUCACAAGACAACCCUCUAGACUGUGUGUGGAGUCAGGCAGAGCUGGGUAUAAAUCCUGGCAUCUGCAACCUUUCUCGGGCAAACUGCCUAACUCUUCUAAAAUCUUACCAGUAAGAUGUGGGUAAGAAAUUCUACCUUGGCCAGGUGCGGUG
Molecule: long non-coding RNA, 1887 nt
Filed under: Homo sapiens (human)
Lineage: Eukaryota; Metazoa; Chordata; Mammalia; Primates; Hominidae
Description: HSALNT0372530
Source: RNAcentral